Molecule: long non-coding RNA, 435 nt
Organism: Gasterosteus aculeatus aculeatus (three-spined stickleback)
Lineage: Eukaryota; Metazoa; Chordata; Actinopteri; Perciformes; Gasterosteidae
Source: RefSeq, a predicted model, not a curated record
CAAGGAGGCCCUCUGGGCACUACUGUAAAAAGGAGACUCCCACUGCCGACACCCAAAGCUGCCAAGACAUCCCUCUCCCCACCAACGCCUUCCAGCUCCUCCCAAGGCUUCGCCAAACCAGACGUACCUGCAUCCCACACACGGACCACCUCAGCACGUUCCUUUUGACACAAAGCAGAAGCUGUUCCCAUCGCUCAGCGCAGCAAAACACUAGGGAGGAAAAUCACGUUGGCAGCUCGGCCUCUACACAAAGCUCAUGACCAUUGGUGUCUUUCAGAUUCUGGUGUGCUACGCUAACAGAAGCAAAUGUAGCCUGAUUAGGCAGAGAUGAAGAGCUUCCAAGGUCUGCCCUCAACCACGGCUGCAGUUUCACCAAUCUAUUUUGGAUUUAGCCGGACGAGUCUGUGAAGGGUGUUUAAUGAGUGGUUAUCACCC